RNAcentral lists this ribosomal RNA (346 nucleotides) under uncultured eukaryote. Its description in RNAcentral is "SSU rRNA". It matches the Rfam family "Eukaryotic small subunit ribosomal RNA", at positions 594 to 945 of the family's 1831-position model. The record is from RNAcentral.
AUAGCGUAUAUUAAAGUUGUUGCAGUUAAAAAGCUCGUAGUUGAACUUCAGGCUUGGUUGGUUGGUCCGCCUCACGGUGUGUACCGAUCGACCGAGCCUUACCUCUUGGUGAGCCAGCAUGCCGUUUAUUCGGUGUGUUGGGGAACCAGGAUUUUUACUUUGAAAAAAUUAGAGUGUUCAAAGCAGGCCUAUGCCCGAAUACAUUAGCAUGGAAUAAUAGAAUAGGACGUGCGGUUCUAUUUUGUUGGUUUCUAGGAUCGCCGUAAUGAUUAAUAGGGAUAGUUGGGGGCAUUAGUAUUCAGUUGCUAGAGGUGAAAUUCUUGGAUUUACUGAAGACUAACUACUG